AACCGUCUUUAGCCAUUUAAAAAAUAUAUAUAAAAAAAAGGGUUGCGGCGGAA
RNAcentral lists this small RNA (53 nucleotides) under Salix viminalis (osier). The record is from RNAcentral. Lineage: Eukaryota; Viridiplantae; Streptophyta; Magnoliopsida; Malpighiales; Salicaceae.